This 796-nucleotide ribosomal RNA is filed under the name uncultured Methanosarcinaceae archaeon. RNAcentral describes it as "bacterial SSU rRNA". It matches the Rfam family "Archaeal small subunit ribosomal RNA", at positions 85 to 879 of the family's 1478-position model. The record is from RNAcentral. Lineage: Archaea; Methanobacteriati; Methanobacteriota; Methanomicrobia; Methanosarcinales; Methanosarcinaceae.
ACGGCUCAGUAACACGUGGAUAACCUGCCCUUGGGUCCGGCAUAACCCCGGGAAACUGGGGAUAAUUCCGGAUAACGCACAUAUGCUGGAAUGCUUUAUGCGUAAAAUGGAUUCGUCUGCCCAAGGAUGGGUCUGCGGCCUAUCAGGUAGUAGUGGGUGUAAUGUACCUACUAGCCUACGACGGGUACGGGUUGUGAGAGCAAGAGCCCGGAGAUGGAUUCUGAGACAUGAAUCCAGGCCCUACGGGGCGCAGCAGGCGCGAAAACUUUACAAUGCGGGAAACCGUGAUAAGGGGACACCGAGUGCCAGCAUCAUAUGCUGGCUGUCCAGGUGUGUAAAAUACACCUGUUAGCAAGGGCCGGGCAAGACCGGUGCCAGCCGCCGCGGUAACACCGGCGGCCCGAGUGGUGAUCGUGAUUAUUGGGUCUAAAGGGUCCGUAGCCGGUUUGGUCAGUCCUCCGGGAAAUCUGAUAGCUUAACUAUUAGGCUUUCGGAGGAUACUGCCAGACUUGGAACCGGGAGAGGUAAGAGGUACUACAGGGGUAGGAGUGAAAUCUUGUAAUCCCUGUGGGACCACCUGUGGCGAAGGCGUCUUACCAGAACGGGUUCGACGGUGAGGGACGAAAGCUGGGGGCACGAACCGGAUUAGAUACCCGGGUAGUCCCAGCCGUAAACGAUGCUCGCUAGGUGUCAGGCAUGGCGCGACCGUGUCUGGUGCCGCAGGGAAGCCGUGAAGCGAGCCACCUGGGAAGUACGGCCGCAAGGCUGAAACUUAAAGGAAUUGGCGGGGGAGCAC